This 433-nucleotide ribosomal RNA is filed under the name uncultured bacterium. RNAcentral describes it as "partial 16S ribosomal RNA". It matches the Rfam family "Bacterial small subunit ribosomal RNA", at positions 29 to 507 of the family's 1533-position model. The record is from RNAcentral.
AACGAACGCUGGCGGCAUGCCUAACACAUGCAAGUCGAACGAGACCUUCGGGUCUAGUGGCGCACGGGUGCGUAACGCGUGGGAACCUGCCCUUAGGUUCGGAAUAACUCCCCGAAAGGGGUGCUAAUACCGGAUAAUGUCUUCGGACCAAAGAUUUAUCGCCUUUGGAUGGGCCCGCGUUGGAUUAGCUAGUUGGUAGGGUAAAAGCCUACCAAGGCGACGAUCCAUAGCUGGUCUGAGAGGAUGAUCAGCCACACUGGGACUGAGACACGGCCCAGACUCCUACGGGAGGCAGCAGUGGGGAAUAUUGGACAAUGGGCGAAAGCCUGAUCCAGCAAUGUCGCGUGAGUGAUGAAGGCCUUAGGGUUGUAAAGCUCUUUUACCCGUGAUGAUAAUGACAGUACCGAGAGAAUAAGCUCCGGCUAACUCCGUG